UGCCCAUAUCUCAACUUCAUACAUCAUUGCUGGUCUUUACAGCUGUCUUAAAGACCUUACCUUUAACAUUUGCCUUAAUUCUUCAAUCACACAGUACUCCUGGUGCUGCACUUAUUUAUAACAAAGUCCUUCUAUACUAAUCUACAUUUAGGUUGUCCCCAGACACUAUGAAUGCGCUGUCCCAAAAAUAACACCUGACAUGAGAUAAAACUGACCUCUCCCAUAUAUUUCCCAUUGCAAUGGCCACUGAAAGGUGAGGUUACAGUCAGCAAGGGGUUUUUGUGGUGUUCAGGACAGAAGUGUAACUGAGGGUAGCUUGGAGAUCCACCUCAUUAGCUGAUUGAGGACACCUUUGGGUAGUGAGGCCUGAGGAGGCUUCAGAGCUUCCUACAUCCUUUAAUAUAUUUGUACUUUUGCUAUUUCUCCCAAGAAGCAAACUCCAAGAAUCAUUUACAGUUUUAAAAUUAAUACAAUAUUCUUAUUUUCCAGGUAAUGUGAUCCUUCACCUGGAUUUGGUUUUUUUGCCAUUCUCUGCAGAUCCUCUCAAGCUCUAUCAGAUGUGAACCUUGACCUGUAGGACAGCAUAGAUGGCCCUCUGUGCCACUGUGUUAUCUUGUUGUAUGUAAUGAACAGUACACUUACACAUAGGACAUCAUUUUAAAAUGGACUGAAUGCUAAUUUAGGGCCAGAUUCUCUAAUGCACUAAAAGGAUCUCAUCUGGGAGCCACACUUUGUAAACAUCCCUAGCACCCCCUGUGCAGAGAUCUAUUUCAGGGCUAAAAGUCAUGUCCUAAUUUGGCAGGAGAAACAAACAAAACUUGUUUAGUCUUGAACAGAGAGGGCCAGGUGGGACCUAGCCAUGGUCUUCAAAAUUUUCCAAAGCAUCAAUAUAGGAGUUCCAGUGGAAUUCUUUCAAAUUAUGUAAAUGGUUUUAUAGGUGUAUAGGGUCAUUAUAGGAAGAGUUGCAGAGUAUAUUGAAAUUCUUACUUGCAUGUACUAAUUAACAUGCAACACGUCAUCACUAUCUGCUGCCAUGAGUAGUAACUAUUACCACCUUACCUUGAACUUUCUGUCUUCCCUGCCUGAAAAAAUAAAAGUGUACAUUCUUAAAAACAGUAGAAAUAGAAAAACCAUGUAGUCAUGUGCGCAGGGACACUGGUGAAAAGGGAAGAGAAAUGCCUUCAAAACAUAAGUAACUUUUGAUUCAUAUAAUCUGACUGAAAUGCAUGGGAUAAGUUACCAUUAGUGAACAAAUAAAGCUCGAUAGACUGGCCACCUUCAAUUUUUUUGAACGAUUCUUGUGAAUCCCUCAUGUGUCUGUUUUUUAUUAUAUAAAUGAGUAAUGUCUAAUUUUGUUCAUUUGGAUGGCAAAUGAAUGUGUCAUUAAAUAUUUAUAGUAAAUGUUUAAAGGAAAAAGCAAAGUACUUAUGCAUACAGUACAAUUCGGUUGUAGUUAUUUUUUCGAGCUAUGCCGUGUCAGCCUGAAGACAUGAUUUCAGGUUAAUUGGCACCUCUAUAUGAAGUCAUUUAUGGCUGUUUGCUGAACAAUUACUAGUGAUGGAGCUCUGCCAUGUCCAGGGCGGGAUCCUACCUAAAAUUAAUGGGAGGGUUAUGAAGCACUUAUACAGCAGGGAGUCAUUAAUAAAAUAAUUACAUUUUAUUGUUGCAUAAAAAGUCAUUGAGCAAUUCAUCCAUCAUAAUAACCUGUUCAUCUGAUUGAGGAACUGGUCAAAGUAAGAAUCUGUAAUCACAGGAUACACACUGAGAAAAUUUAAAGUCACCACCUUCACCAUGCUAAUGGACUCCCAGGGCCCAAACCCUGCAAGGUGAGAGAAAAACAGUACUCGUGAUGGCUUUGUCGGAGUUAAUAUUUUAAAGAUUUUGUGUUUUGACAGAAUUUUGUUGACACAUCAUUUACAUUUCAGAAAAGGAAAUGCCAACACUUCAUUUUAGAAGCAAGCUAAGUCUGUCAACAUCCAAAUUACCAUCAGUAAAUGGCAGGGAGUUGAAAAGCAAAUGAAAUGAAAGCAAAUGACCUGAAUGGAUUACCCUUUGAUUGUUAAGCAGGGCAAGCUUUCUUUUCUGCAUUCAAACAAAAGCAGUACACAGGAUGACCUGGUGAAAAUAACAUUUUCCUAUAAUAGUACAUUGCACGCUGCUGCAGAUUAUAGAAGAACACUGAAGAUUAUUUUGUGAGUGUCCAGUCUAUUUAAAAGAAAAAAGGGCAGUGGGUAUAGGCGAACAAUAGAAAACUGGCUCUGCUACAGCAGAUGCUGUAAAAAUCAAAAUUAAAAAUCAUUCACGUCAAGUGAUUUCUUUAACGUUUAAAGGUUAAUGGAUUUUUUCUCAGUUUUUUUUUUUUUUUACAAGGUUUCAGAUAAUGGGAGCAUUCAAACAGAAAUGAGGAGUACAUCAGAUCAGUCUACCAGCAGUCCCAAUGACAUUACUUCUGAGUCAUGGUUUCCUGGCCUUGACCCUUCCAAUCUGGCUUCUUCUUAAGCAUCAAAGAAGAAGAAAAACAAAUCUAUUCUAUUCUGAAGCUCGCUUGAUAGACCACAUUAAAAUUCAAGAGCUGUGAAUGAAGGUGACAGAGCAGCUGGAGCGUGGCGAUGCAAGUGACAAUUCUGAGUGACCAAGGGCUAAAUCUUCACCAUGUUAAUAAAUGGUAAUUCUGAAUUGUGCAGCUUGUGAGACAGGCAGGGCACAUCAAGUUACAAGUGGUCACACAUCUGAAGAGGACAAUUUCAGAGAUAUUUUAAAUAGCCAGAAACUUUACUUUUUUUUAUGCUUCUUUUACAUUGUUCAAUUUAUUUUAAAAAAAUAGUUUAGGAUCUGUAAUAAACUGAAAACAGAUGUUGACCUGUUUGUUUUUACAUUCUAACAAAUUGUGACUCCAUUUUGGUAGAAAGUAGUAAAUAGCAUUCUAAAGUUGUAAAAGUGCAGCUUUCACAAUUUCAUUAUCUUGAAUUGCUCUGAUUCAGCAGGAACGAAAACCUGUCUAUCCAUUCAUUUACUAAACCCACUUAUGGCCUUUUUAUAACUUCAUUUUAAUCUUAAUUUAACUUAAUCCUGAU
This is a long non-coding RNA of Polypterus senegalus (gray bichir), 3074 nucleotides long. RefSeq lists it as uncharacterized. The transcript is spliced from 4 exons. The record is from RefSeq and is a predicted model, not a curated record. NCBI's taxonomy places the organism in Eukaryota, Metazoa, Chordata, Cladistia, Polypteriformes, Polypteridae.